GUGGAGUACUCCUUCUAAGCUAAUAUCACCACGAGACCGAUAGCGAACAAGUACCGUGAGGGAAAGUUGAAAAGCACUCUGAAUAGAGAGUCAAAGAGUACGUGAAACUGCCUAGGGCUCAAGCCCGUUGAACUCGAUUAUCCGAACGGAGAUAUUCACCUGUGGCCUGCGGGGCUCGCACCCGCAGCCACAGGGCACUUAUCUCCGGCUUUCACGAGGACAUUGCGAUCCAUUACGAAACGCUUGUGCCGCCCGCCGGCGCAAACCGCCCGACCACUGCCCCCCGGUGCCGGUUGCUUGUCCCACAGUAGCGUGCAUUCAGUUCUGAAGGCCUAUGCCGCGAGCUGGGACCUACUGCACGUGGUGUGCAGUCGGGCGCGUGAUGGAUUCUUCCCUGGACACCGUCCCCGUAUGUGCCCCCCGCAUACACGCUCAUUCUGGGCUGGCGGACUGUCGAUCGGCAAUGAUCAAAUCGAGGUACCUUCGGGACCCGUCUUGAAACACGGACCAGGAAUUCACA
Molecule: ribosomal RNA, 520 nt
Filed under: Tripteroides tarsalis
Lineage: Eukaryota; Metazoa; Arthropoda; Insecta; Diptera; Culicidae
Description: eukaryotic LSU rRNA
Rfam family: Eukaryotic large subunit ribosomal RNA
Source: RNAcentral